CCGUCGCGCAUUGGGGAGUAGCCGCCCCGCGGCAUGUCCGCACCGCUGUCACCGGGUGCGUCGACGUGUGGUUCGCGGGGGCGCCUGUCAACAGACUUGGCCGUCAAGGCCAUGGCAGCCGCAGCCUCUGGCCUGGCGAGACCGAUGA
This 148-nucleotide non-coding RNA is filed under the name Burkholderia sp. Its description in RNAcentral is "Manganese sequence". It matches the Rfam family "Manganese Mn2+ riboswitch aptamer (yybP-ykoY)", at positions 1 to 110 of the family's 177-position model. Rfam says of the family: This RNA was originally discovered in E. coli during a large scale screen and was named SraF. The family was later found to exist upstream of related families of protein genes in many bacteria, including the the yybP and ykoK genes in B. subtilis. The specific functions of these proteins are unknown, but this structured RNA element may be involved in their genetic regulation as a riboswitch. Lineage: Bacteria; Pseudomonadati; Pseudomonadota; Betaproteobacteria; Burkholderiales; Burkholderiaceae. The record is from RNAcentral.